This 73-nucleotide transfer RNA is filed under the name Guillardia theta. Its description in RNAcentral is "tRNA-Arg". It matches the Rfam family "tRNA". From Rfam's summary of the family: Transfer RNA (tRNA) molecules are approximately 80 nucleotides in length. Their secondary structure includes four short double-helical elements and three loops (D, anti-codon, and T loops). Lineage: Eukaryota; Cryptophyceae; Pyrenomonadales; Geminigeraceae. The record is from RNAcentral.
GCGUUGAUAGUUUAAUGGAUAAAACUUUUGUUUUCUAAGCAAAUAAUUAUAGGUUCAACUCCUAUUCGACGUU